UCAUAGACAGGAUUGUUUAAAUUUAGUUAACUCUCCAUGCUCUUCAGACUGUGAUACUGUGUAAAUGUCUAUUCUGCUCUGGUUUGUGUGAACUGGGAUGUUGGGGGUGUUUGUGGUUAUCUUACCUGGGGAAGUUCUUAUGUUUAUCUUGCUUUUCAUGUGUCUUUCUGUAGACAUAUCUGAAGAGAUGGAUUAAGAAUGCUUUGGAUUAAGGAUUGUGGAGCACAUUUCAAUCAUUUUAGGAUUGUCAAAAGGAGGAUUGAGGAGGAUCAGAUCAAUAAUGGAGGCAAUGGUAUGACUCCAAGUGCUAUUGUCACAGAUGAAAUUGGCAGUAUUGACCUUAUACUAAAAGGCAAGGGUUGAAAGUGAUUAUAUAUAUAUAUACAUCUACCUUAAAACAUUUGCAAACAUCUUAUGCAGUUACCUUUAGCUACAAUUGCUUUGCUCUUUAAACCUUGGCAAUUGUGGCAAAAUUAUAUUGCCCAUUUUGUAACAGUUUAUUUUGCUCCCUUCCCCCCUUUUUUGUUUUAAUAGGGACUAAUGUGGGAAGAACUGGCUAAUUUGUCACAGUGCUUAGUUACAACUGUUAAUGUGUGACCUGCUGUUGGUGUACAUGUGGGUACAGGGUGUCUUUAAUUCCAACCAGAUAGAGUAUAAUAUCAAUACUGCUAAAUCUGCAUGUCCUCUGUGUGACUGAUAUAGCGUUGCUAUUUCAUUUUUUUAAGACAAAAUGAAAGCAAAAUAGAAUUCCAAUGUAUUGGUGUAGAUAAUCUAGUUGGGAAUACUUUUAAGUCUCACCUUCCCCUUUUAAACUAAUAUUCAUAAUUGACUCAUGUUUAAAACACUUUAAUUUACAAAUUAAAUUGCAGAUGGGAGCAUUAGGUUUAGUUUAGACUUAGGGUGGGUAGCAAUACCAGUAAACUUUUCAACUACAUAACUUUUUGCAACCACAAAACCUGUAAUACGCUGUACAGUAACAAGUGUUGGCAUUAUCAGUUGAACUGUAAAUAUAAAAUGCUUCUUCCAAUUAGUCUCUAUGAUGAUUAAGUUUCUAAAAUUUAUCUGAACACCAUUCAGAAACUUGUUUUGGGGAAUUUGAUAGUUAUUGAUGUACAUCUGUUAAACUGAUGACAGACAUAACUCAUCAUUCCCCAGAAACCUUUUUUGAUUACAGUAUCUAACAUUUUGCCUCCUCUUUUUUGGUUUUGCUGGUUAUAAAGGUUUGGAUUGGAGAGGGCUCACUGGAUCCCAAUCCUUGGAGCUGGAUCAUUGGAUUCAAAUCAUAAUGUGGAUAGGAUAGGGAGGAUGAAUUACAAGGAUUCAUGGAGCGGGAUCAGAUUACCAGGAACAUAGGAGUGGAUUCCUGCCCCAACCAAACCGCAUUCGUGUGGAUAUUUUUUUUUUUUAUUCAACUUAAUUGGCUAUUCCAAAGAUUUUUUUUUUCCUAUUUUUGACGAUUGGAGCCCUUAAGAUGCACGAUGGAAUUGUGUUUUGCAUUUUUUGGUAAAAGGAGCAAAGCGAGGACCUGGAGAUAAUACGCUGGAGCAAUCUCCUUGGAAGGAUUCAGCACGAGUAGAUGGUAAACAUUUAAAGGGGAAAGGGGGGGUUUGUUUAAAUAGUAAAUCAGUAAGUCACUUCUAAAUUUAAAGAACAAAAUUGGAGUUGAAGAAUAAGUAGGUUUCCAAUUGGCUAUUGCCGUUUUUCUUUGAAAAAAAUAAACAUUUUUUAAAAAACUAUGCAUGGUUGUCCUUUUUCCUCUUCAUGUAAAAUUUUAAUUGGGUGACUAGUUUAUCAGUUAAUACUUUGAUAAGAUUCUGUUACGUGUUAGUAAAUUAAAGGUUCUUGAAAGAUUAUUUCUAAUAAAUGGAAUUAGCCAUCUUACUGUUAAUUAUAAAAGUCUUUUCGGGGAGAUAAGGUAAGAAUAAGGCAAUUGUGUAUAUAGUAUGUUAAAUGGGUGAUCUAGUUUCUGAAAGAUAAUCUUCCCAUACUUUGAUAAAAAUGAUUAAAUUUAUAGAUGUCUAUUUUUUGGUGAUCAUCUAGACAACAUAGGCUUUGUGCAGAAUCGGGUAGUGACUAGUUAAUGUUAACUUGGAGAUAGCCUUUGAGAUUUUCAAGCUUUUCUCAAAAAUUGGUAAGUAUUAAAUGUUAAAGUCCGUGCAGAUUAGAAAUCUUAACACAAAUUACAUUUUUUUUCUGAAAUGUAAUACACUAGAAUUUUAACUGCUUAUUUAUUGUUCAUGAGAAGCUGGGCUUUCUUUAUAAUUGUGCCUUGCAAAUCCUUCUCAACUAUAAUAUUCUGUAUCCAGAACAUACCAAAGCAGUGAUAUAUAUCUUAGUCUGCUCGUUCUUGUAUCUUUUUAUUUGAUAGCCCCUUGGUGCUAAAUUUUCAAUGAGUUGGGGGAGGAGAUUUUUACUUAAAAUCCCUAAUCUUUUUCUUUUGAUUUCCUCAUAGCUAGUCAAAACCAUCAAAACACUUUUUUCUGCACCCAAAAGAAAUAACUAAAUACUAACAUUUGCCUUGGAUGCUAAUAAGAGUUGGAAGCUGAAUUUAAGACCACUAUGGAGGUGACAUAAUUCGAAACCUAGGAAAAGCUAGACAUAAUCUUGGUAAUAGAAGAAGUGGCCCCAAGGGACUUGCAUAAGGACACGCAACCAAAACAUUUAGAUGAGCCUUGUGGAAUGUAAGGAAGAUCAGGGAUGUUAAAUUUAAAACUAAGAUUGCACUUGUAAAUUGGUUUAGAUUAAGGAAGUUACUAGUUUCUAUGCAGGAAUUCAAAAUACAAUGUUCAAGAAGUGGAAGGAUUUUAACUUUCAUGUAUAGAGUAUAAGUAUUUUUAAACAACUAAUUUUGGAAAGGUUAAUGUAAGCUAAACUUAAGCCUAUGUUCAUUGAAUGUGUUGGAAACCAGAUCAAGAUGAAAAAUUGCCUUCAGUGAAGAUUGAGUGCAUUUAGGCUAAGUUGAAAGCUGUGUUCUGCUAAAAACUUGAGUAGUCCAAACGUCAGAAUUGAGGUAUAGAAAGUACUGUCUGAUAAUAGGGUGUCUGAAGAUCAGAGGACUUGGCUGCAUAUUUAUAGAAGAUAGAUAGGCACCAGACCAGAUAGCUCAGAGCUGUGAGGGCAGAUGCAGACUUGUUUUUCAGUCUUAGGAAAUGAACCCUAAACCUCUGCCCAUUUUGGCAGCUGUAAGAAGAAAGUUGUACCAUUUUGCAACUAAAAAAGUAGCCCUGAAUUGUUCCCCUUUUCUCUCCCUAUUUAUGUUCCCUUAGAAUAGUGUAGGGAGCCUAUAAUUAGUUUGUUAUUUUCUAACCAAGGAAAAACUUUAAGAAGCAAUUACUUUUCAUAACGUCAGAUUGAAUAACCCACCUUGCUGUUCAGCCCACAUCCUUCUGGAAACAAAAGGCUGACCUGGUCCUUGAUGUGCUGCCUGCUUCUGCUACUGAUCCAUACUGCAGAACUUCUCAUUCAUCCCCAAGGCCUCCAAGCAAUGUCCAAUAGGGAAUCGACUCUAAAAGGAACCAGACCAACGUUUCCAGCCCCUUCAUUCUGGUGACUGAGGGAAGGAAGCAGUGGGAGGGGUUAUACAUGUGUAGUGGAUGUGAGGGAAACACAGACUGUCAAAUUACUCUAUCUCUUUAGUUUCUUUCUCAAAUAGGAUUCUGCAACCGUAUUAUUUCUAUUGUGUAAGUAUAGGGGAAGUUGAAGAUGGUGACCUUGAUUAAAUGUGUCUGAGGGGAAUAAAUGGAGUGUAUGAGAUAAGAGACAGUUGGUUAUGAAAGAUGUUGAAGUCUUGAAAUAAUGUGACCAUCUGAGGAAUUUUUUUUAAACCGGAGUUUAUAAAAAUAUCACUGAUACAGCCUGCCCCCUCAUUUCCCGCCACAGGAGACUUCUUGGACUGGAGACACUUGUUUAAUAAUAGCUUGUCUCCGAUAUUCCCAGUAGCUACCUCUCUGUGAGGAAAGGAUAGCAAACGUUAAGGACAUCAUCACACAAAGUUCCAGUAGCAGUGACGCCUACACGGAAGACUUGGAACUGCAAACAGAGGCUGGGGUCACCUCAGUGACAUCUGACGCCGUCCAACCACAAGUUCGAAUUUUGUUUUGUGGGGUGAGGAAGCAGACUGUACUAAAGGACUAAAAUUAUUUCUUGUCUGUACUUUCUCACUUGUUUUUAUUUUUUAAUUUUUUUGGCGGGAAGAGAGGGAAGUUCGGGUAAAAUUUCAUAUCCUAUCUGGAGUUAAGGGGAGGAUGGGAAAGCUCAGCCCUUCACCCAAGAAUAAGCCAGUAAUGACAUCUCAACGCGUGGGAAGUGUUUCCCUCAGCUGGGAGGAUCUGAGGCUGCACCCCAGUGGGAUUCCUUGCUAGAGUUAGAAGGCCACUCAGAGGCAGACGCAUAUUGUAGCAGGCGGAGGGUUUAGCUGGCUGGGGAUGAAGUAUGAGAAGGGAGGGACAUUCGAAGUCCUAGGGGCUUCCCCCAAUUUGGAGGCGCGGGCUGUGCUACGCAUAUGGGACUGAGAAGCCGGGUGACCGCCGUGGCCUGUGCUUUCCGCUGAGGGUCUGACAAGCACGCGACGCUGCUGGGCAUCGCGUUUGAGUCCCGGGAGACCGCCCAGCGGUGCCCAGCGAGACCGCGCCAGACCCUGGCGUCCUCCAUCUUCUCUCCUGCGCUCCCCCUGCUCCAGCUGCCUGAGCCGCGGACCGCAGCACCACACACCCCCGCGGGGGGGGACGCCGCGCCCCAUCCCCGCCCCCGGCCCCACCCCAGCCCCCCCGCGGGGGCCCUGACCCCAUCGCCGGCGGGCACUGGCUGAGCUCCGAGGCGGCGAGCCUGCGGCGGGGACGCCCAGAAGGGGUCCGGGCGGCUGGGGGCGGCGGCGGCCGGGUCGGGGCUCCCCCCCCGCCCGCGCUCGCCGCGGCGGUGGUGCGUCCCGGAGGUUACCGGAAGUGGCCGCGCUCGGCGCUGCCAUGUUGAGGAGCCGCCGCUGCCGCUGCCGCCGCCGCCGCCGCCGCCGCUUUGUUGUCGCCUCCUCCGGCUGAGGAGGCUCCCCGAGCGGGGGGAGUGGGGAGGAGGGGGGUCGGCCGCCGCAGCCAUGGAGGCCAACUGGACCGCGUUCCUGUUCCAGCAAUUAAAAUCUUUUUUUCCACCUGAUGGAGAAGUGUGAAAGCUAAUAUUUGAUCCUGGGCUUGGCAAUGUGUGCAGUGAAAAUUGUUGGAAAAAUAAUUUAGAGCCGAGGACAGUUGAAUGGGUAAAGAGACUAUUUCAGUCUUUUCUAUGGCAAGGCCCAUGAAGCCUCCCAUCACCAACAGCAGGCAGCACCGAACAGCUUGCUGCCCCUCCUGAGCUCGGCUGUGGAGCCCCCUGAUCAG
RNA transcript from Mustela erminea (ermine), 5363 nucleotides. It is a transcript of the gene named vascular endothelial zinc finger 1, with no coding region annotated. The transcript has 4 exons. The record is from RefSeq and is a predicted model, not a curated record. Lineage: Eukaryota; Metazoa; Chordata; Mammalia; Carnivora; Mustelidae.